This 311-nucleotide long non-coding RNA is filed under the name Carica papaya (papaya). Its description in RNAcentral is "long non-coding RNA (CPAP_LNC004975)". Lineage: Eukaryota; Viridiplantae; Streptophyta; Magnoliopsida; Brassicales; Caricaceae. The record is from RNAcentral.
UGCUUUGUUUUUGAACGAAUGAUAAAAUGGAAAUUUAAGAAUAUUGAUCCUUUGUCCUACCCUCGGUAAAGGCAAAGAGGGGUAUUUUAAGGAGCUCCGGCCUAAAAAAUAUCAUGAUGGUCAAGUCUAGAUAUAAGAGACCUUUGGCCAAAUGUAUUGGACCCCCACCAAGUUCUGAACAUGAGGCAUGAUCUAUGAGAGUAUUUUGUAUGAUUGAGAUGCAUGAAACCUUGGUAGAUUGAUGAUUCGCAUGGUUAAACUAAUUAAUUUGAUGUUUAAUAUCACUACAGUAUUUGGUAUUGUUUAAUCAU